Molecule: unclassified non-coding RNA, 189 nt
Filed under: uncultured Chaetothyriales
Lineage: Eukaryota; Fungi; Ascomycota; Eurotiomycetes; Chaetothyriales
Description: sequence contains ITS1
Source: RNAcentral
CUGAGUUAGGGUCUUCUAGGCCCGACCUCCCAACCCUUUGUCUACCUAACCCUAGUUGCUUCGGCGGGCCCGUCCUUCGGACCGCCAGGAGACUGUACUUGUCUCCCGGCCCGCGCCCGUCGAUAGCCACCUCAAAACUCUUCGAAAUAAUUUUGUUUACGUCUGAGUAUUUUUAUUUAAUAAAGCAAA